GAUGAACGCUGGCGGCGUGCCUAAUACAUGCAAGUCGAGCGAACGGACGAGAAGCUUGCUUUUCUGAUGUUAGCGGCGGACGGGUGAGUAACACGUGGAUAACCUACCUAUAAGACUGGGAUAACUUCGGGAAGCCGGAGCUAAUACCGGAUAAUAUUUUGAACCGCAUGGUUCAAAAGUGAAAGACGGUCUUGCUGUCACUUAUAGAUGGAUCCGCGCUGCAUUAGCUAGUUGGUAAGGUAACGGCUUACCAAGGCAACGAUGCAUAGCCGACCUGAGAGGGUGAUCGGCCACACUGGAACUGAGACACGGUCCAGACUCCUACGGGAGGCAGCAGUAGGGAAUCUUCCGCAAUGGGCGAAAGCCUGACGGAGCAACGCCGCGUGAGUGAUGAAGGUCUUCGGAUCGUAAAACUCUGUUAUUAGGGAAGAACAUAUGUGUAAGUAACUGUGCACAUCUUGACGGUACCUAAUCAGAAAGCCACGGCUAACUACGCG
This 497-nucleotide ribosomal RNA is filed under the name uncultured bacterium. RNAcentral's name for it is "partial 16S ribosomal RNA". It matches the Rfam family "Bacterial small subunit ribosomal RNA", at positions 28 to 507 of the family's 1533-position model. The record is from RNAcentral.